RNAcentral lists this transfer RNA (72 nucleotides) under Niastella koreensis. Its description in RNAcentral is "tRNA-Glu". It matches the Rfam family "tRNA". Rfam says of the family: Transfer RNA (tRNA) molecules are approximately 80 nucleotides in length. Lineage: Bacteria; Pseudomonadati; Bacteroidota; Chitinophagia; Chitinophagales; Chitinophagaceae. RNAcentral also lists the same sequence under 1 other name. The record is from RNAcentral.
GGCGAGGUAGCGUAAUUGGAAAAGCGCCGCCUUUUCAGGGCGGAGUUAUAAGUUCGAACCUUAUCCUCGCCA